This 770-nucleotide ribosomal RNA is filed under the name uncultured bacterium. RNAcentral describes it as "bacterial SSU rRNA". It matches the Rfam family "Bacterial small subunit ribosomal RNA", at positions 28 to 777 of the family's 1533-position model. The record is from RNAcentral.
AAUGAACGCUGGCGGCGUGCCUAACACAUGCAAGUCGUGCGCGAAAGCGGCUUCGGCCGCGUGUAGAGCGGCGAACGGGUGAGUAACACGUGGACAACCUGCCCAAGAGUGGGGGAUAACCUGGGGAAACUCGGGCUAAUACCGCAUACGUUCCCGGGACUUCGGUUCCGGGCAGAAAGAUGGCCUCUACUUGUAAGCCAUCGCUCCUGGAGGGGUCCGCGGCUGAUUAGCUAGUUGGUGAGGUAAUGGCUCACCAAGGCGACGAUCAGUAGCCGGCCUGAGAGGGUGAACGGCCACACUGGAACUGAGACACGGUCCAGACUCCUACGGGAGGCAGCAGUGGGGAAUAUUGGACAAUGGGGGAAACCCUGAUCCAGCAACGCCGCGUGGAGGAUGAAGGUCUUCGGAUUGUAAACUCCUGUUAGAGGGGACGAAGGAACGCCGGUGAAUAUCCGGCGGACUUGACGGUACCCUCAGAGGAAGCCCCGGCUAACUCUGUGCCAGCAGCCGCGGUAAUACAGAGGGGGCAAGCGUUAUUCGGAAUUAUUGGGCGUAAAGGGCGCGUAGGCGGCCUUGUAAGUCUUGGGUGAAAUCCCUCAGCUCAACUGAGGAACUGCCUCGGAUACUGCAGGGCUUGAGGCCGGGAGAGGGUAGUGGAAUUCCCAGUGUAGCGGUGAAAUGCGUAGAUAUUGGGAGGAACACCGGUGGCGAAGGCGGCUACCUGGACCGGUUCUGACGCUGAUGCGCGAAAGCGUGGGGAGCAAACAGGA